GUCGAGCGAACAGACGAGGAGCUUGCUCCUCUGACGUUAGCGGCGGACGGGUGAGUAACACGUGGAUAACCUACCUAUAAGACUGGGAUAACUUCGGGAAACCGGAGCUAAUACCGGAUAAUAUAUUGAACCGCAUGGUUCAAUAGUGAAAGACGGUUUUGCUGUCACUUAUAGAUGGAUCCGCGCCGCAUUAGCUAGUUGGUAAGGUAACGGCUUACCAAGGCAACGAUGCGUAGCCGACCUGAGAGGGUGAUCGGCCACACUGGAACUGAGACACGGUCCAGACUCCUACGGGAGGCAGCAGUAGGGAAUCUUCCGCAAUGGGCGAAAGCUUGACGGAGCAACGCCGCGUGAGUGAUGAAGGUCUUCGGAUCGUAAAACUCUGUUAUUAGGGAAGAACAAAUGUGUAAGUAACUAUGCACGUCUUGACGGUACCUAAUCAGAAAGCCACGGCUAACUACGUGCCAGCAGCCGCGGUAAUACGUAGGUGGCAAGCGUUAUCCGGAAUUAUUGGGCGUAAAGCGCGCGUAGGCGGUUUUUUAAGUCUGAUGUGAAAGCCCACGGCUCAACCGUGGAGGGUCAUUGGAAACUGGAAAACUUGAGUGCAGAAGAGGAAAGUGGAAUUCCAUGUGUAGCGGUG
Molecule: ribosomal RNA, 640 nt
Filed under: uncultured Staphylococcus sp.
Lineage: Bacteria; Bacillati; Bacillota; Bacilli; Caryophanales; Staphylococcaceae
Description: bacterial SSU rRNA
Rfam family: Bacterial small subunit ribosomal RNA
Source: RNAcentral